AUUGAACGCUGGCGGCAGGCCUAACACAUGCAAGUCGAGCGGAUGAAGGGAGCUUGCUCCUGGAUUCAGCGGCGGACGGGUGAGUAAUGCCUAGGAAUCUGCCUGGUAGUGGGGGAUAACGUCCGGAAACGGGCGCUAAUACCGCAUACGUCCUGAGGGAGAAAGUGGGGGAUCUUCGGACCUCACGCUAUCAGAUGAGCCUAGGUCGGAUUAGCUAGUUGGUGGGGUAAAGGCCUACCAAGGCGACGAUUCGUAACUGGUCUGAGAGGAUGAUCAGUCACACUGGAACUGAGACACGGUCCAGACUCCUACGGGAGGCAGCAGUGGGGAAUAUUGGACAAUGGGCGAAAGCCUGAUCCAGCCAUGCCGCGUGUGUGAAGAAGGUCUUCGGAUUGUAAAGCACUUUAAGUUGGGAGGAAGGGCAGUAAGUUAAUACCUUGCUGUUUUGACGUUACCAACAGAAUAAGCACCGGCUAACUUCGUG
RNAcentral lists this ribosomal RNA (484 nucleotides) under uncultured bacterium. RNAcentral's name for it is "partial 16S ribosomal RNA". It matches the Rfam family "Bacterial small subunit ribosomal RNA", at positions 30 to 507 of the family's 1533-position model. The record is from RNAcentral.